Molecule: long non-coding RNA, 421 nt
Filed under: Rattus norvegicus (Norway rat)
Lineage: Eukaryota; Metazoa; Chordata; Mammalia; Rodentia; Muridae
Description: long non-coding RNA NONRATT018669
Source: RNAcentral
CAGGUGGUCAUGCUGGCUAUGUACAACUUGUCUCUGGAAGGAAGUGGACGUCAAGGCUACUUCCGGUGGAAAGAAGAUAUCUGUGCUUUUAUUGAGAAACAUUGGACUUUUUUACUAGGAAAUAGGAAAAAGACUUCGACGUGGUGGAGCACAGUAGCAGGUUGCCUCAGCGUGGGAAGUCCUGUUUAUUUCCGUUCAGGUGCUCAGGAAUUUGGAGAGCCUGGAUGGUGGAAACUUGUUCAUAACAGACCCCCAACAAUGAGACCAGAGGGAGAGAAGCUGUCUGCCUCCACUUUGAAAGUGAAAGCUUCAAAACCAACACUGGAUCCCAUCAUUACCGUUGAAGGACUCAGAAAACGAGCAAGCCGGAAUCCUGUGGAAUCAGCCAUGGAAUUGAAAGAGAAGCGGUCUCGAACACAGG